This 2921-nucleotide ribosomal RNA is filed under the name Klebsiella pneumoniae. Its description in RNAcentral is "bacterial LSU rRNA". It matches the Rfam family "Bacterial large subunit ribosomal RNA". Lineage: Bacteria; Pseudomonadati; Pseudomonadota; Gammaproteobacteria; Enterobacterales; Enterobacteriaceae. The record is from RNAcentral.
GGGUUGUGAGGUUAAGCGACUAAGCGUACACGGUGGAUGCCCUGGCAGUCAGAGGCGAUGAAGGACGUGCUAAUCUGCGAAAAGCGUCGGUAAGGUGAUAUGAACCGUUAUAACCGGCGAUGUCCGAAUGGGGAAACCCAGUGCAAUUCGUUGCACUAUCGUUAACUGAAUACAUAGGUUAACGAGGCGAACCGGGGGAACUGAAACAUCUAAGUACCCCGAGGAAAAGAAAUCAACCGAGAUUCCCCAGUAGCGGCGAGCGAACGGGGAGCAGCCCAGAGUCUGAAUCAGCUUGUGUGUUAGUGGAACGGUCUGGAAAGUCCGACGGUACAGGGUGAUAGUCCCGUACACCAAAAUGCACAGGUUGUGAACUCGAAGAGUAGGGCGGGACACGUGGUAUCCUGUCUGAAUAUGGGGGGACCAUCCUCCAAGGCUAAAUACUCCUGACUGACCGAUAGUGAACCAGUACCGUGAGGGAAAGGCGAAAAGAACCCCGGCGAGGGGAGUGAAAAAGAACCUGAAACCGUGUACGUACAAGCAGUGGGAGCACCUUCGGGUGUGACUGCGUACCUUUUGUAUAAUGGGUCAGCGACUUAUAUUCUGUAGCAAGGUUAACCGUAUAGGGGAGCCGCAGGGAAACCGAGUCUUAACUGGGCGUUAAGUUGCAGGGUAUAGACCCGAAACCCGGUGAUCUAGCCAUGGGCAGGUUGAAGGUUGGGUAACACUAACUGGAGGACCGAACCGACUAAUGUUGAAAAAUUAGCGGAUGACUUGUGGCUGGGGGUGAAAGGCCAAUCAAACCGGGAGAUAGCUGGUUCUCCCCGAAAGCUAUUUAGGUAGCGCCUCGUGAACUCAUCUUCGGGGGUAGAGCACUGUUUCGGCUAGGGGGUCAUCCCGACUUACCAACCCGAUGCAAACUACGAAUACCGAAGAAUGUUAUCACGGGAGACACACGGCGGGUGCUAACGUCCGUCGUGAAGAGGGAAACAACCCAGACCGCCAGCUAAGGUCCCAAAGUCAUGGUUAAGUGGGAAACGAUGUGGGAAGGCACAGACAGCCAGGAUGUUGGCUUAGAAGCAGCCAUCAUUUAAAGAAAGCGUAAUAGCUCACUGGUCGAGUCGGCCUGCGCGGAAGAUGUAACGGGGCUAAACCAUGCACCGAAGCUGCGGCAGCGACACUAUGUGUUGUUGGGUAGGGGAGCGUUCUGUAAGCCUGCGAAGGUGUGCUGUGAGGCAUGCUGGAGGUAUCAGAAGUGCGAAUGCUGACAUAAGUAACGAUAAAGCGGGUGAAAAGCCCGCUCGCCGGAAGACCAAGGGUUCCUGUCCAACGUUAAUCGGGGCAGGGUGAGUCGACCCCUAAGGCGAGGCCGAAAGGCGUAGUCGAUGGGAAACAGGUUAAUAUUCCUGUACUUGGUGUUACUGCGAAGGGGGGACGGAGAAGGCUAUGUUAGCCGGGCGACGGUUGUCCCGGUUUAAGCAUGUAGGCUGAUUGUCCAGGCAAAUCCGGAUAAUCAAGGCUGAGGUGUGAUGACGAGGCACUACGGUGCUGAAGUAACAAAUGCCCUGCUUCCAGGAAAAGCCUCUAAGCAUCAGGUAACAUUAAAUCGUACCCCAAACCGACACAGGUGGUCAGGUAGAGAAUACCAAGGCGCUUGAGAGAACUCGGGUGAAGGAACUAGGCAAAAUGGUGCCGUAACUUCGGGAGAAGGCACGCUGGUGUGUAGGUGAAGUCCCUGCGGAUGGAGCUGAGACCAGUCGAAGAUACCAGCUGGCUGCAACUGUUUAUUAAAAACACAGCACUGUGCAAACACGAAAGUGGACGUAUACGGUGUGACGCCUGCCCGGUGCCGGAAGGUUAAUUGAUGGGGUUAUCCGUAAGGAGAAGCUCUUGAUCGAAGCCCCGGUAAACGGCGGCCGUAACUAUAACGGUCCUAAGGUAGCGAAAUUCCUUGUCGGGUAAGUUCCGACCUGCACGAAUGGCGUAAUGAUGGCCAGGCUGUCUCCACCCGAGACUCAGUGAAAUUGAACUCGCUGUGAAGAUGCAGUGUACCCGCGGCAAGACGGAAAGACCCCGUGAACCUUUACUAUAGCUUGACACUGAACAUUGAGCCUUGAUGUGUAGGAUAGGUGGGAGGCUUUGAAGCGUGGACGCCAGUCUGCGUGGAGCCAACCUUGAAAUACCACCCUUUAAUGUUUGAUGUUCUAACGUUGGCCCCUGACCGGGGUUGCGGACAGUGUCUGGUGGGUAGUUUGACUGGGGCGGUCUCCUCCCAAAGCGUAACGGAGGAGCACGAAGGUUAGCUAAUCCUGGUCGGACAUCAGGAGGUUAGUGCAAUGGCAUAAGCUAGCUUGACUGCGAGCGUGACGGCGCGAGCAGGUGCGAAAGCAGGUCAUAGUGAUCCGGUGGUUCUGAAUGGAAGGGCCAUCGCUCAACGGAUAAAAGGUACUCCGGGGAUAACAGGCUGAUACCGCCCAAGAGUUCAUAUCGACGGCGGUGUUUGGCACCUCGAUGUCGGCUCAUCACAUCCUGGGGCUGAAGUAGGUCCCAAGGGUAUGGCUGUUCGCCAUUUAAAGUGGUACGCGAGCUGGGUUUAGAACGUCGUGAGACAGUUCGGUCCCUAUCUGCCGUGGGCGCUGGAGAAUUGAGGGGGCUGCUCCUAGUACGAGAGGACCGGAGUGGACGCAUCACUGGUGUUCGGGUUGUCAUGCCAAUGGCACUGCCCGGUAGCUAAAUGCGGAAGAGAUAAGUGCUGAAAGCAUCUAAGCACGAAACUUGCCCCGAGAUGAGUUCUCCCUGAGACUUUAAGUCUCCUGAAGGAACGUUGAAGACGACGACGUUGAUAGGCCGGGUGUGUAAGCGCAGCGAUGCGUUGAGCUAACCGGUACUAAUGAACCGUGAGGCUUAACCUUACAACGCCGAAG